RNAcentral lists this small RNA (596 nucleotides) under Pan troglodytes (chimpanzee). RNAcentral's name for it is "processed transcript". Lineage: Eukaryota; Metazoa; Chordata; Mammalia; Primates; Hominidae. The record is from RNAcentral.
GUGCUUCUUUCCUCUCUCUGCCUCCUUCACAUCUCCCUUCAAAGAUGAGACUGGGAAAAGAGGGUGAUUCAUCAAGAAAGACAUCUGAGAUGUAUGAAUAUCCUGUAAGACUGACCCAAAUCCUGCUGGCUUGGUGAGCUCAUCUCCCAGUUGCCUGAUUAUCUUAGAACAUUGAAGAGCUCCAGUGAAGAUGAAGAUAUGUUUGUUUAUUCGAACAGGAUGCAGUCCAGUCUUGCUGACUUCUUUGGACUCUGAUCUUAUAUACCAGUGGAAGAACACUGUACACAACCCAAUGCAGAAAGACCACUAAAGACUUAACGCCCUCUGGAAAGAGGAUUUCGUCACCCUACAAAGCAAAGAGCCAUUAUCAACUAGAGUAUCAUCUAAAGGCAAUGGGAACAUGGAAUGCAGUGGAGGAAGGAUGUUAAGGCUACCAACUAAGUUCUCACCUUCAGCUACAAGAAUGAGAACUAUAAAAGGGCCGCUUGAAGAUGCCAUUGAAGAUGAGGAAGAAGAAUGUCCAUCAGAGGAAACAGACAUCAUCUCCAAAGGAGACUUUCCACUGGAGGAAAGCUUUUCCACAGAAUUUGGGCCUG